UACGGAGGGGACUAGCGUUGUUCGGAAUUACUGGGCGUAAAGCGCACGUAGGCGGAUUUGUAAGUCAGGGGUGAAAUCCCGGGGCUCAACCUCGAAACUGCCUUUGAUACUGCAAAUCUCGAGUCCGGAAGAGGUGAGUGGAAUUCCUAGUGUAGAGGUGAAAUUCGUAGAUAUUAGGAAGAACACCAGUGGCGAAGGCGGCUCACUGGUCCGGUACUGACGCUGAGGUGCGAAAGCGUGGGGAGCAAACAGG
RNAcentral lists this ribosomal RNA (253 nucleotides) under uncultured bacterium. RNAcentral describes it as "partial 16S ribosomal RNA". It matches the Rfam family "Bacterial small subunit ribosomal RNA", at positions 524 to 776 of the family's 1533-position model. The record is from RNAcentral.